RNAcentral lists this long non-coding RNA (485 nucleotides) under Phoenix dactylifera (date palm). Its description in RNAcentral is "long non-coding RNA (PDAC_LNC020496)". Lineage: Eukaryota; Viridiplantae; Streptophyta; Magnoliopsida; Arecales; Arecaceae. The record is from RNAcentral.
AACGCCUUACAGAAAAUUAUGUUCUACAAACCGGAGUCUUGAAUUCUAAGGGACGUUGCUAACAAAGAAAUGCAAACCUCCUCCAAGAAAGUACCGUAUUAGGGUCACCUUGAAGCCAGACUUUGGCUUAUUAAUCCAGGAAAUUACUGCAUUAGAAUCAUCUUUAGCCAGAGCUUAUAUACCUAAGCCAGAGCCAAGCUUACCUGACAAUUGGCAAUGAACCGAAUGCCUUAGGUUGGGUUGUGAAUGGCCACCGUAGAAGUACUGCCUGUUUUGGGUAAAAUCAUGGCUGGAACCCGAGCAAGACAAGCAAGCUAAGCUCAUGUUUAGCUUGGUCAGAAAACCUGUAAUAGAAACUCAGGUCUGAGUUUGGCUUGCCUUGAUCGAGGGCAACAUGACCCAAAUGAGAUUGGUUUGAUACUGGAUUGUUUGAUGGCGACUCCAAUAUGGUGAAAUUUACCCCCAAAAAAUGUGACAAAACAAAG